AUGGGGAGGCUGAUUUUUGACAGGUCAAGGAGGGGGAAAUACGUAGGAGUCUUCUACUUGAAUGAAUUUUUGGGAAGAAAACACAGUAUGUAUGAAGCUGAAAUCAUGAUGGAACCAAAAUGGAAUAUUUAUAUGCUUUUUUUCUUUUCUUUAAACCAGCAUAGAACACAUGGCUUCACCAAAACCAGUGUCUUGCAUUUCUUCAUCGCGGAACUGACUUCAGAGGAAAGCAGUUCAGAUCCUUGUCUCCAGUCUGGAGCUGUCCUCUGGCCAGGCUCCUUGCAGGAUGACAUCUCUCAGCAAGACUUCUCCCUACAAAGAUAUGAUUCUAACAAUUUCGACCAGACUGUCUUGGGGCCCUACCUCUCAGGAACUGAGUGCUGGAAAACUUCCACUGGAAAAAAAAAAAAAACAAAAAACAAAAAAACACACACUCUUUUAAAAGAGAGGAUAUCAGAAGUAUACAUCUUUUAUCCAUGCCCCACACACUUGCAUGUGAAGAGAGAGCACCAGCUGUUUUUCUCAUGGAGGCACUGUGGAAAACACACCUCUCAAACUGGAGCUCACAACCAGGACAGCUGGUAAUGGUGAUGCAAAAAAGCGACUCAUCACAGCAAGCAGUUAAGUUGUGUAGGCCAUCGUCAUGUGCCCUUUUCUUUGAUUGGCUUCAGAAAAAAUGGUAAGUGAAUUAAGACAGUAAGUGAGGGGAGUGCUAGGGCAGGGGGAAGUCAGGGUCAGGUCUGUUUUGAUGUUCAUCUUGAUUCCUUUAGUUCUCUUCACUGUGGGUGGUAACUGCUUGAGUUCCCAAAAGUGUUUACAGUUGAAGUCAUCUUUAGACAGGUGGACUUAUUUUUGAAUCUUG
RNAcentral lists this long non-coding RNA (862 nucleotides) under Phasianus colchicus (ring-necked pheasant). RNAcentral describes it as "lncRNA (ENSPCLG00000004233.1)". The record is from RNAcentral. Lineage: Eukaryota; Metazoa; Chordata; Aves; Galliformes; Phasianidae.